CCGACGCCAGUUAGGCUGAUCAAUGAAUCUGAUACGAUCGAAUCAAAUAACAAAAGUAAAAAUUUUUACAACUUUGGCUUCCACGCGGAGUUUGUGGGUGUGGAAUUGUACUGCAAAAUAAAGGGAAAGGACACAUAAAAUGUUAUUUUUAGACAGCCGAGAGUCAAUUAAAGUAUGUCAGAAAAUACAAAAAGGCAGAGUGUUUUGGGAGAACACAGUGAACGUAACUUGGGUACCAGAUUCAGAAUUUUCAAUGUCUUUGAAUGGAACAUGAAGAAACACUCAAAAUACUGCAGUUUAGAUGAUGUUAUGCCAAAUUAAUUUGGGGCAGCUGGAGUUGUAGGUAGACAAAAGAAGCAAAAGAGAGCUUGACAUUUCUGUGGCUGUAUUAUCGGUGCAUCUCGAGGUUACAUCUCCAAAACCGAAAAAACUGGAAUCAGCUGAGUGCGGAGCUUGCACAGAUCUCAUAUGCCUCACGAUACGACCAACUUGGCUUAGGUACCCUACCAAGCAAUCUCGUUUUUCGUGAAACAGACCUUCAUUACAUAGGGACUGGCGUAAACUAUUAUUUUUGUGCAAUACAUCUGCAUAAGGACGUGUUUGGGCCGGGAUCAUUCAAGCCCUAGGUCCAAUAAAAGGCCACAAUUAAUACAUCAGCGUGAUAAGAUUUUACUGUGAAACUCUCAGCUUCUCUGUCACAUGUACUAAAGUAUCUGAACCGACGAAAGCUAAAUUCAUACUCGGGACUCAGACUCAAUGGCUGAGUGCCGAACGAGUGACUGUGGCAUUACUUGGUCACACUUACUUCAGUCUAACUAAUAAAUUGGACCAAAAUUGGCAGCUGAGUUGUCACACUUAUCGAUUAUUGGACAAACAAAAACAACUAAUGAAACACAUUAAUGAAAUAAGUAAAAAAAGGUUGGAGCAGAAUCCGAAAUUUGGUCGUGAAGAAAGAAAUUCAA
This is a long non-coding RNA of Ceratitis capitata (Mediterranean fruit fly), 962 nucleotides long. RefSeq lists it as uncharacterized. The record is from RefSeq and is a predicted model, not a curated record. Lineage: Eukaryota; Metazoa; Arthropoda; Insecta; Diptera; Tephritidae. The transcript is spliced from 3 exons.